AUGUAUACAUUAUGUGAUGAAAAAAUUCUCUACUCCCAAACGUUUCGAUUUUUCUGAAAAGCAAGUUAUUUAUCUGGGACCCCAAAUUUUCAUUUUGGGAAAAAAGUUAUUCAUAGUGUUGUAGUGUGUGCUAAGACUCUAACCUUCUUCGGCUUUCAGGUACUGGAGCGAUUUGAACUUCUCAAGAAGCAGAAAGAUACUGGACCCUUUAGGAAGCAAGAUUUUGAUGACCGGAUCUUAAAACAGCAGCAAGAAGAGGAGGAAAGGAAGCGUCAACGUAGAGAGAGGAAGAAAGAGAAAGUUUGUUCCAAAUCUAUUUUCCCUUUUUUUCUUCCUGUUGAUAAGCAUAGAUACACAAGCUUACUUAACGAAGGAAAAAGGAAAAUUGACGAGAUGCACAUGCUCCAAUUUAUGUUACUUGAGGAGAAAUAUAAUAUGAUUUUUGGCUAUUGAUUUGUUAUAUGGAUCAGAAAGAGAAGGCAGCAGAGGAGGAAACUGAGGUAGAUGCUGAUGUUGCAGCAAUGGUGGGAUUUGGGGUUUUGGUUCAUCCAAAAAGUGAUUUUAAGAUGCUUAUCCCUAGUCUAGACCUCCUGAAUUCUACUAGAAAGGGAAACUUUUCAAGUUUUUGGCUUUCCUUUCUGAAUGUAACAAAUAGUAAUGAAAGUGUUCACAUGGCUGUUGUUAUAAGGUUAACUGUUGGGGCUGAAUAUCAUUUCCAAUUUUGUACAUUUCAUCUUA
Molecule: non-coding RNA, 738 nt
Organism: Camellia sinensis
Lineage: Eukaryota; Viridiplantae; Streptophyta; Magnoliopsida; Ericales; Theaceae
Source: RefSeq, a predicted model, not a curated record